GAUGAACGCUGGCGGCGUGCCUAAUACAUGCAAGUCGAGCGAACAGACGAGGAGCUUGCUCCUCUGACGUUAGCGGCGGACGGGUGAGUAACACGUGGAUAACCUACCUAUAAGACUGGGAUAACUUCGGGAAACCGGAGCUAAUACCGGAUAAUAUAUUGAACCGCAUGGUUCAAUAGUGAAAGACGGUUUUGCUGUCACUUAUAGAUUGAUCCGCGCCGCAUUAGCUAGUUGGUAAGGUAACGGCUUACCAAGGCAACGAUGCGUAGCCGACCUGAGAGGGUGAUCGGCCACACUGGAACUGAGACACGGUCCAGACUCCUACGGGAGGCAGCAGUAGGGAAUCUUCCGCAAUGGGCGAAAGCCUGACGGAGCAACGCCGCGUGAGUGAUGAAGGUCUUCGGAUCGUAAAGCUCUGUUAUUAGGGAAGAACAAAUGUGUAAGUAACUAUGCACGUCUUGACGGUACCUAAUCAGAAAGCCACGGCUAACUACGUG
Molecule: ribosomal RNA, 497 nt
Filed under: uncultured bacterium
Lineage: Bacteria
Description: partial 16S ribosomal RNA
Rfam family: Bacterial small subunit ribosomal RNA
Source: RNAcentral